This 253-nucleotide ribosomal RNA is filed under the name uncultured bacterium. Its description in RNAcentral is "partial 16S ribosomal RNA". It matches the Rfam family "Bacterial small subunit ribosomal RNA", at positions 524 to 776 of the family's 1533-position model. The record is from RNAcentral.
UACGUAGGAUGCAAGCGUUGUCCGGAAUUACUGGGCGUAAAGCGCGCGCAGGCGGUUUUUCAAGUCAGUGGUGAAAGCCCGGAGCUCAACUCCGGAACUGCCAUUGAAACUGUGAAACUUGAGGAUGAGAGAGGUGAGUGGAAUUCCCAGUGUAGAGGUGAAAUUCGUAGAUAUUGGGAAGAACACCGGUGGCGAAGGCGGCUCACUGGCUCAUUUCUGACGCUCAGGCGCGACAGCGUGGGGAUCAAACAGG